RNAcentral lists this ribosomal RNA (584 nucleotides) under uncultured marine eukaryote. Its description in RNAcentral is "SSU rRNA". It matches the Rfam family "Eukaryotic small subunit ribosomal RNA", at positions 613 to 1201 of the family's 1831-position model. The record is from RNAcentral.
UUGCGGUUAAAAAGCUCGUAGUUGGAGUUCUGCCAGGUGACACUCGUCCGCCCAAGUGGUGUGUACAGGGUGAGCAUCUGGCCCUUUCAAGGGGAACGUGUCUGCUCUUUACUGAGUGGUGCGAGAUCCUUGACUUUUACUUUGAGGAAAUAAGAGUGUUCCAAGCAGGCUCUCGUCGUGCAUAGCUCAGCAUGGAAUAAUAGCAUUGGACUUCGUUUCUAAGCUGUUGGUUGCAAGAAGCGAGGUAAUGAUGAAGAGGGAUAGUUGGGGGCAUUCGUAUUUAACUGUCAGAGGUGAAAUUCUCGGAUUUGUUAAAGACGGACUACUGCGAAAGCAUCUGCCAUGGAUGUUUUCAUUGAUCAAGAACGAAAGUUAGGGGAUCGAAGACGAUCAGAUACCGUCCUAGUCUUAACUAUAAACCAUGCCGGCUAGAGAUCGGAGGUCGUUCGAUUUGUGACACCUUCAGCAUCUUGAGAGAAAUCAAAGCCUUUGGGUUCCGGGGGGAGUAUGGUCGCAAGGCUGAAACUUAAAGGAAUUGACGGAAGGGCACCACCAGGAGUGGAGCCUGCGGCUUAAUUUGACUC